This is a long non-coding RNA of Octopus sinensis (East Asian common octopus), 1335 nucleotides long. RefSeq lists it as uncharacterized. The transcript has 3 exons. The record is from RefSeq and is a predicted model, not a curated record. Lineage: Eukaryota; Metazoa; Mollusca; Cephalopoda; Octopoda; Octopodidae.
ACUGGAGCCUGUAAACAUGUACACAUUAAAUAUGAUACAUAGAUGGCUAUUUUAGUUUAAUACUGCUUCAAUUGCAUAUUCAUUGAGAAGCUUGCUUUGAUAAAAAUAAGUAUCAGUUAAACACCGGAGUUGACAUAAUUGACUCACCCACGCCCAAACUGCUGGCUUUGUGCCAAAAUUUGAAACCAUUGAAAGGUGGUGAGCUGGCAGAAUUGUUAGUGCAAAGAACUGUUUAGCAACAUUUCUUCAAGCUCUUUGCAUUUUUAGUUCAAAUACUGUUGAGGUCACAAAAUAAAGUACCAGCCAAAUACUAGGUUUUAUGUAACCAACUUGUCCCUUUGGGGGUUGCUGGCCUUGUGCCAAAGUUAGAACUAUUGUUAUCAUUACUGAGGAUUGAUCUUAUUCCUGGUAGAUUUUAUGUGGGUGGUGUGUUACUCCUGUAAACUUAAGAUAUUCACUUGAUUUUAAGCCAUCAAGUGCUCAAAACCCAUCUGAUCUUACCUGUUCUAAAGAGGCAAAUCUUCUGUAGAAGCUCUACAAGACACACGAUUAUGAUCUUUAUCCAUUUGUCUUUGUUAUCACUCUGUUCCAAAUGCACUAGUUAUCAUAGGUACAAUUGUUACAGAUUCCAUGUUCCAAAUUCUCACAAUCUCAAAUUUCAGUGGGUUGUAGUUUUUCAACUUUUUAUCAGCUUCCUUCAUAAUCUUAAUAUUUAAUAGAUACGAUGGAUCAAUCAAUAUGCAAAUUUGACUUUCUUUGUCUGUAACUGCAAUAUCUGGCUUUAUCCAUUUCAAUAGAAAAAUCCCACAAAAUCUUACAUGUUUCCAAUUUAAGUACUUAGUCUAUCCAAUGAUUGUACCAUGUACUUCCUGCUUUAAACCCCUAUUUUUGACAAUGUUUCCAGUGUAAAAGAACAUGCUCCAUUUCUUAUAUUCUUCCUGGGCGAACUCAGGGCAUUCUGUAACAGCAUGUGCCAUCAUUUCAUCUAAAAUUCUGCAUACUCUACAUUUUGUUGACGCCUUCUCCCCAUACAUAUUUUUUUAUAUCAGAUUUUUUAUCUGAAGUUCUUGAUCUUGAGCUGCUAUAAUAAGACUCUGUUUUUUCAAUGAAGCCCAGGAUCUUAUUGACAUAUAUCCUCAGUGGCUUUCCAAAAUUCAACAUGCUAAGUUUUCUCUCCAAUUUGUUCAACUUGUUCUCUUUGAAUUUCAUUUUUGUUCUGUUUGCCUUUUCCAGUCUUGAUCAACUAAUCUUUACUCACUGCCUUUAGUAACUUUUGAUGCAAGGAGAAUUAAGAGAUGUAUAAAAAUUAUUGUGCAGUGAGAUAAAAAAUAAAAA